UCGCCGCCUCGGAAUUCCUCCAAUGCACGCGCGUUGCGUGUGUCCGUCCCUGAGCAGUUACUGACUUGGCUUCCAGGUUCCGUGUGAGUGUGAGGAGAGAUGACUGCCUAUCUGGGGCAGUAAUGCGGACGGGUGAGGAGGAACAAAGAGGAGAUUAGUGAUGAAAUAGCGACCUUCAACUGAACCACACGAGCCUUUACCCUGCAACUCGCCCCAAAGCAGCUCACAGACGGCACAUGCUGUGUGCACGGCACCUACACGGACCCUUGACAGGAAUACUCGUAAGAAAACCUGGAGCAAAUCCCAGCCGGUAGCACUCACUGCACCGGCCCCUCCUCGUUAUUACCUGCCUCCCCUCUCAGACGGCAGCACUGCGGGUCUCGUCUCGCUCUGCUCCGUCUCCCUGCUUGCAUACGGCAGGGGUACUCUAGCAAGCGCUAAUUGAAGUGACCUUAUUCAAACCUAAUUAAAACCCUGCAGUCUC
Molecule: long non-coding RNA, 484 nt
Organism: Eptesicus fuscus (big brown bat)
Lineage: Eukaryota; Metazoa; Chordata; Mammalia; Chiroptera; Vespertilionidae
Exons: 2
Source: RefSeq, a predicted model, not a curated record